Molecule: long non-coding RNA, 416 nt
Organism: Esox lucius (northern pike)
Lineage: Eukaryota; Metazoa; Chordata; Actinopteri; Esociformes; Esocidae
Exons: 3
Source: RefSeq, a predicted model, not a curated record
GGCUAUCAUACAGAGAGGCUGGUGAACGAGUACAGCCAAAUCUCAGCCGGGACACAGUGGCAUCCAUUGUCCGUAUUUUCAGAGAAACCAACAGGAUUCAACGUCUACCUCCCUCAGGGGGCAGAGGAAAGCUCCUGAAUGAAGAACAGGAACGUGCUAUUGUCAACAUGGUGAUUGCUGACAAUGAAAUAAAACUGAAGGACAUUCAGUCCAGAGUUGUAGAGGACAACCUUGUCUUUGGGAACAUUGCAGCAAUCAGCAUAACAUCCAUUUCUCGGACUCUGGCUAAACACAGAGUCCGAAUGAAACAACUAUACAAAGUUCCUUUUGAAAGGAACAGUGAGCGCAUCAAAGAACUCCGUCACCAAUACGUCCAGAGAGUCAUGGAGUUGGAGGCCAAUCAAGUCCCACAUGAA